ACUUUCUAAUUAGGCAGUAAGAAGAACCGGUUCAUGAAUCGUGCCGUGUUCUCAUCAGUCAAUAGCCUGUGAAUUCCUUGUGAACAUUUCUCAAUCAAUCUCAUGUGGGCAUGAAUGUGUUCAUUCUUAUGCAUUCCUUCAAUCACUAUUUUUUAUGGCAUUGGCAUUGAACGAGCAUGAGGAGUUGCAUUUAAAAUAGAUUCCACGAACUAGAAGCGGAUGCAGGCGUUUUUCCUCAUUGUGGAUCUCUUCAGUUGAGAGAAAAUCUUUUCACAGAGUAUCACAUCAGCAAAGCUCCAAACAUUCUACCAGAAAAACCCCAAUAUAAAAUUUUGCAAUGCGCCUUUGGAUUGUUUUCUUUGUGAUUGCGGCAUUCAUCAGUGUUAUAACUGCUGGUGAUCAACGAUUCGGAACAACCAACAUAUUCAAGGAGAGGCCAAACUGUCCCCGGGGGCAAAGACCGAUCAAAGUUAAGGGAGGUUGGAGAUGUAUUAAAGCUUAAAUGAGAAUAAAAGAAACCUUUGUAUGAUGAAAUGUAAUCGAAGAAGGAAUAGUUAAAAGAUUUUAUUUUAAAAUCUCAAAUGUGACAAAAUAAAUUUCCUGUAUUAAAAACA
This is a long non-coding RNA of Nilaparvata lugens (brown planthopper), 614 nucleotides long. RefSeq lists it as uncharacterized. The record is from RefSeq and is a predicted model, not a curated record. The transcript has 3 exons. Lineage: Eukaryota; Metazoa; Arthropoda; Insecta; Hemiptera; Delphacidae.